AAGGGAGACCUAAUUCGGGUAUAAGACGAAAAAAUAGUAGUCGAAACCAAGAAUCAAUCCCAAAAGGUCGGAACGAGGUAUGUGGCUUUCAAACUAGGUUCUGGGUUCACAAAAGACCUGAAUCAGGAACAAGGGCUAUUAGCUCAGGUGGUUAGAGCGCACCCCUGGUAAGGGUGAGGUCCCUGGUUCGAGUCCAGGAUGGCCCACCUGCACAGGUGGCAAAAACAAGAGAAGCGAGGAAUCAGCACCUUAUCUUACUUAUAUAGUAAGAGAGAAUGCUGGCUCUGAGUAAAGAGUCCAGAGGAACCUUGAAAACUGCAUAGAGCUAGGUGAAAAAGCCAAAAAAGAAGACCGCAA
This 357-nucleotide transfer RNA is filed under the name uncultured Microcystis sp. Its description in RNAcentral is "partial 16S-23S ribosomal RNA intergenic spacer". The stretch from base 133 to 206 matches the Rfam family "tRNA". Lineage: Bacteria; Bacillati; Cyanobacteriota; Cyanophyceae; Chroococcales; Microcystaceae. The record is from RNAcentral.